Molecule: ribosomal RNA, 400 nt
Filed under: uncultured bacterium
Lineage: Bacteria
Description: bacterial SSU rRNA
Rfam family: Bacterial small subunit ribosomal RNA
Source: RNAcentral
AACGAACGCUGGCGGCGUGCCUAACACAUGCAAGUCGAGCGCGAAAGUUCCUUCGGGGAUGAGUAGAGCGGCGGACGGGUGAGUAAUACAUAGGUAAUCUACCUUCGAGUUUGGGAUAACCCCGCGAAAGUGGGGCUAAUACCGGAUAAGACCACGUAACUUAUGUUACGGGGUAAAAGGUGGCUUGUUUUUAAAUGAGCUAUCACUUGAUGAUGAGCCUAUGGCCUAUCAGCUUGUUGGCGGGGUAAGAGCCCACCAAGGCUAUGACGGGUAGCUGGUCUGAGAGGACGAUCAGCCACACUGGGACUGAGACACGGCCCAGACUCCUACGGGAGGCAGCAGUGGGGAAUAUUGGGCAAUGGGCGAAAGCCUGACCCAGCGACGCCGCGUGGGUGAUGAA